RNAcentral lists this transfer RNA (81 nucleotides) under Desulfovibrio sp. 6_1_46AFAA. It matches the Rfam family "tRNA". From Rfam's summary of the family: Transfer RNA (tRNA) molecules are approximately 80 nucleotides in length. Lineage: Bacteria; Pseudomonadati; Thermodesulfobacteriota; Desulfovibrionia; Desulfovibrionales; Desulfovibrionaceae. The record is from Rfam by way of RNAcentral.
GCGAGAGUGGCGGAACUGGUAGACGCACUGGACUUAGAAUCCAGCACCCUAGGUAUGGGGGUUCAAAUCCCCCCUCUCGCA